CCUACGGGACGCAGCAGUCGGGAAUAUUGCGCAAUGGAGGAAACUCUGACGCAGUGACGCCGCGUGCAGGAAGAAGGUUUUCGGAUUGUAAACUGCUUUAGACAGGGAAGAAAAAAGACAGUACCUGUAGAAUAAGCUCCGGCUAACUACGUGCCAGCAGCCGCGGUAAUACGUAGGGAGCAAGCGUUAUCCGGAUUUACUGGGUGUAAAGGGAGCGUAGACGGACUUGCAAGUCUGACGUGAAAAUCCGGGGCCCAACCCCGGAACUGCAUUGGAAACUGUAUAUCUAGAGUGUCGGAGAGGCA
Molecule: ribosomal RNA, 305 nt
Filed under: uncultured bacterium
Lineage: Bacteria
Description: bacterial SSU rRNA
Rfam family: Bacterial small subunit ribosomal RNA
Source: RNAcentral